GUAACACGUGGGCAUCUGCCCUCGGAUGGGGGAUUAAUCGCCGAAAGGCGAGCUAAUACCGCAUGACAUUCCCGGGACUCCGGUCCUGGGACUCAAAGGCCGAAGGCGUCUGAGGAGGAGCCCGGCCCGAUUAGCUAGUUGGUGAGGUAACGGUCACCAGUUUGAUCGGUACCGGUCUGAAGGAUGGCGCAAUGGAAUGAGAGGCCAAUCCUAGGAGGCAGCAGUGGGGAAUAUUGCGCAAUGGGCGAAAGCCUGACGCAGCGACGCCGCGUGGGGGAUGAAGCUUUUCGGAGUGUAAAACCCCUUUCGACCCGGAGAAUGACCCGCAGGGUUGAC
RNAcentral lists this ribosomal RNA (336 nucleotides) under uncultured bacterium. Its description in RNAcentral is "bacterial SSU rRNA". It matches the Rfam family "Bacterial small subunit ribosomal RNA", at positions 110 to 473 of the family's 1533-position model. The record is from RNAcentral.